AUCACAACCAGUUACAGAUUUCU
RNAcentral lists this non-coding RNA (23 nucleotides) under Cricetulus griseus (Chinese hamster). Lineage: Eukaryota; Metazoa; Chordata; Mammalia; Rodentia; Cricetidae. The record is from RNAcentral.